This 195-nucleotide non-coding RNA is filed under the name Pseudoselenomonas ruminantium. The record is from RNAcentral. Lineage: Bacteria; Bacillati; Bacillota; Negativicutes; Selenomonadales; Selenomonadaceae.
AUUCCAUAGGAAGGAACAGGUGCAAGCCGGCGCACAUCCGGCUGCUGAAAAGAGAAGCUGGUAUAGGCCAGCGCGGUCCCGCCACUGUAAGGGGAGCGAAUCUGCAUAGUUAAGUCACUGGGGGCAUAAGCCUUUGGGAAGGCGCAGAGGAGCGAUGAACCGAGCCAGGAGAACUGCCUGUUUGACAAUCACCGU